ACUGAAUAGAAAGUGACUAUAAAUGAAUGGGAGUCACUGCAUAUAUGAAUGAAACAGACUUUCCAAGCUGAGAAAAAAUGUUUGUAGAGUGAAAUUAUCUUCACCUGCAUUAGGCUUGAGUAACUGGGAUUUAUGCAGGUUCAGAGAGUUGGAGUAGAAGCUGCAGCCCUCUAUGCCAGUUCAGAAGAUAGAGGUCCCCUUACAUGACUGCUCUGCUUACAGGUCUCCCUGCUCAUCCCCACAGCAGAAAUGAGGUGACAUGAAGAACCUUGUGUUGGUACUUCACUCCAAGUCCAUUAUAUGGUCCGUCAUGAGGUUACUAUGAAUAUUCAGAUGAAAAAGCUCUCUGAUGAAAAUGAGUAUACACGUGGUAAGUUUUAGUGGAUUUAUUGUGCUACUGAGGUAUAAGAGAAUCAAAAGCCUGGCAUACAGUUCUUCAGACUGUGAUCUAUUUCAUCAGACCUCACAAGGUAAACAGAGACAGGCCUGGUCAAUUAAGAAAAAUUGGAGUAUUGCAGGAAGUGGUGUUGGUAAUUCAGUACAUUUCUUUCUCUUCCCCAAGAGUCUGUGAUGAACUAAUAACCCAGUUCAGUGUUAGGUGCUUAUGAAAAGGUAAAAAUAAAGCCCAAUGUGUUCAUAAAAUAUUGUAGUGAACUUCCCACAAGAUUAGA
Long non-coding RNA from Mauremys reevesii (Reeves's turtle), 671 nucleotides. RefSeq lists it as uncharacterized. Lineage: Eukaryota; Metazoa; Chordata; Testudines; Geoemydidae. The record is from RefSeq and is a predicted model, not a curated record. The transcript is spliced from 4 exons.